GAAAUGCGAUAAGUAGUGUGAAUUGCAGAAUUCAGUGAAUCAUCGAAUCUUUGAACGCAUAUUGCGCCCUUUGGCAUUCCGAAGGGCAUACCUGUUCGAGCGUCAUUGUAAUCCUUAAGCUAUGCUUAGUGUUCAACGUUUUGUCCUACUAGAUUCUAGUGCUACGGACACGUUACAAAAGUAUCGGCUUCGAUUAUUGGUACUGCGCGUACCAGAAUCUUUCGCAUAUAGAUCAGUACAUCGACGGCCCUAAUGGCACGUCGGGUUGUCUCGAUAUACUUUUAGAUUGACCUCGGAUCAGGUAGGGAUACCCGCUGAACUUAA
This 324-nucleotide unclassified non-coding RNA is filed under the name uncultured Ascomycota. RNAcentral's name for it is "sequence contains ITS1". The stretch from base 1 to 105 matches the Rfam family "5.8S ribosomal RNA", at positions 50 to 154 of the family's 154-position model. Lineage: Eukaryota; Fungi; Ascomycota. The record is from RNAcentral.